This 410-nucleotide ribosomal RNA is filed under the name Burtinus luteomarginatus. Its description in RNAcentral is "SSU rRNA". It matches the Rfam family "Eukaryotic small subunit ribosomal RNA", at positions 360 to 735 of the family's 1831-position model. The record is from RNAcentral. Lineage: Eukaryota; Metazoa; Arthropoda; Insecta; Hemiptera; Alydidae.
UGACGGGGAAUCAGGGUUCGAUUCCGGAGAGGGAGCCUGAGAAACGGCUACCACAUCCAAGGAAGGCAGCAGGCACGCAAAUUACCCACUCCCGGCACGGGGAGGUAGUGACAAAAAAUAACGAUACGGGACUCAUCCGAGGCCCCGUAAUCGGAAUGAGAACACCCUAAAUCCUUUAACGAGGAUCUAUUGGAGGGCAAGUCUGGUGCCAGCAGCCGCGGUAAUUCCAGCUCCAAUAGCGUAUAUUAAAGUUGUUGCGGUUAAAAAGCUCGUAGUUGGUUCUGCGUGCCACGCUGUCGGUUCACCGCCUGCCGGUGCAACUGGCAUGCCGUGGCAUGUCCUGUCGGUGGCGGAUAGGCUUCGCGGCGUGCCCCGUGCGUUCGCGUGCGGGUCGCCGCGCCGCGUCGUCC